AAGACUAUAUUUUCAGGGAUUAUUUCUAUAGUUUGUUACUAGAGAAGUUUCUCUGAUUGUGUAUGGUACCGGAAGCCAGGAGGAGGAGGUGCAGUGUGAAGCUGGCUCUUGGUGUUGCUUUAUUGCAACUGCCAUUUGCCAUUGAGGAUCAUUCUUACUCUCUAGAAGGAAAGUACACAAUCUGAGUGGU
RNAcentral lists this small nucleolar RNA (190 nucleotides) under Castor canadensis (American beaver). RNAcentral describes it as "Small nucleolar RNA U3 (ENSCCNG00000020305.1)". It matches the Rfam family "Small nucleolar RNA U3". From Rfam's summary of the family: Small nucleolar RNAs (snoRNAs) are involved in the processing and modification of rRNA in the nucleolus. There are two main classes of snoRNAs: the box C/D class, and the box H/ACA class. U3 snoRNA is a member of the box C/D class. The record is from Rfam by way of RNAcentral. Lineage: Eukaryota; Metazoa; Chordata; Mammalia; Rodentia; Castoridae.